CCUACGGGUGGCAGCAGUGAGGAAUAUUGGUCAAUGGGCGGAAGCCUGAACCAGCCAAGUAGCGUGCAGGAUGACGGCCCUACGGGUUGUAAACUGCUUUUAUACGGGAAUAACGCGCCUUACGUGUAGGGCUUUGCAUGUACCGUAUGAAUAAGGACCGGCUAAUUCCGUGCCAGCAGCCGCGGUAAUACGGAAGGUCCGGGUGUUAUCCGGAUUUAUUGGGUUUAAAGGGAGCGUAGGCCGCAUGUCAAGCGUGCUGUGAAAUGUCCGGGCUCAACCCGGGCCUUGCAGCGCGAACUGGCGUGCUUGAGUCCGCGGAAAGCAGGCGGAAUUCGUCGUGUAGCGGUGAAAUGCAUAGAUAUUACACAGAACACCGAUUGCGAAGGCAGCUUGCUAGGCCGGAUCUGACACUGAUGCACGAAAGCGUGGGGAUCGAACAGGAUUAGAUACCCCAGUAGUC
Molecule: ribosomal RNA, 460 nt
Filed under: uncultured bacterium
Lineage: Bacteria
Description: partial 16S ribosomal RNA
Rfam family: Bacterial small subunit ribosomal RNA
Source: RNAcentral